UACGUAGGGGGCGAGCGUUGUCCGGAUUUAUUGGGCGUAAAACGCUUGUAGGUGGCUACGUCAAGUCGGACGUGAAAUCUCCCGGCUUAACUGGGAGGGGUCGCUCGAUACUGGCGAGCUCGAGGCAGGUAGGGGGAAGCGGAAUUCCCGGUGUAGUGGUGGAAUGCGUAGAUAUCAGGAAGAACACCCGUGGCGAAGGCGGCUCUCUGGGACGGUACGGACGCUGAGACGCGAAAGCGUGGGGAGCGAACAGG
Molecule: ribosomal RNA, 254 nt
Filed under: uncultured bacterium
Lineage: Bacteria
Description: partial 16S ribosomal RNA
Rfam family: Bacterial small subunit ribosomal RNA
Source: RNAcentral